Molecule: transfer RNA, 76 nt
Filed under: Saprospiraceae bacterium
Lineage: Bacteria; Pseudomonadati; Bacteroidota; Saprospiria; Saprospirales; Saprospiraceae
Description: tRNA-Phe
Rfam family: tRNA
About the family: Transfer RNA (tRNA) molecules are approximately 80 nucleotides in length. Their secondary structure includes four short double-helical elements and three loops (D, anti-codon, and T loops).
Source: RNAcentral
GCCGCUGUGGCAGAGUUGGUCAAUGCGUGAGAUUGAAAAUCUUGAGAUGAAGGUUCGAUUCCUUCUGGCGGCACCA